UACACUCUAAAAAUGGCUGGGUUAUUUUUUAACCCAAAAUGCUGGGUUGAGUCUGUUGGGUUGUUUUGCUGGGUUAAUUUUUAACAUUUUAAACACUUUUUGGGUAGUUUCAGUUUUCUGGUUGUUGGGUUAAAACUGCUGGGUUAUUAUGUUGGGUUGUUUGAAGAGGCUCACGUGCUUCGCGCCUUUGAUGUUUGAAUGUGCUCAGCAACGGUCGUCGUGAAAGGAAAGAGUCACUGGAAGCAGUUGUUUCAAGAGUGUGCAGAGUUUUUAUGUCCAUCCAUUAAUGAGGCUAGCAAGGCCUUCAUACAACUUCAGCCAAUUGCAACAAAUGUGGUGGAAGUUCUUCUCUGGACAGAAUCCUCGAAAUCCUUUCCUUUAUUUCCUGGCCAUGGGAAACAUGCAGCAGAUCUCUCAAUCUUUUUUCUCUAUCAGUCUCUCUGAUGGAACCAAUACGGAAGUGACUUAAACUGCA
This is a non-coding RNA of Paramisgurnus dabryanus, 475 nucleotides long. NCBI's taxonomy places the organism in Eukaryota, Metazoa, Chordata, Actinopteri, Cypriniformes, Cobitidae. The record is from RefSeq and is a predicted model, not a curated record.